RNAcentral lists this ribosomal RNA (510 nucleotides) under uncultured bacterium. Its description in RNAcentral is "partial 16S ribosomal RNA". It matches the Rfam family "Bacterial small subunit ribosomal RNA", at positions 28 to 507 of the family's 1533-position model. The record is from RNAcentral.
GACGAACGCUGGCGGCGUGCUUAACACAUGCAAGUCGAACGAAGAGCGAUGGAAGCUUGCUUCUAUCAAUCUUAGUGGCGAACGGGUGAGUAACGCGUAAUCAACCUGCCCUUCAGAGGGGGACAACAGUUGGAAACGACUGCUAAUACCGCAUACGAUCUAAUCUCGGCAUCGAGGAUAGAUGAAAGGUGGCCUCUACAUGUAAGCUAUCACUGAAGGAGGGGAUUGCGUCUGAUUAGCUAGUUGGAGGGGUAACGGCCCACCAAGGCGAUGAUCAGUAGCCGGUCUGAGAGGAUGAACGGCCACAUUGGGACUGAGACACGGCCCAGACUCCUACGGGAGGCAGCAGUGGGGAAUCUUCCGCAAUGGACGAAAGUCUGACGGAGCAACGCCGCGUGAGCGAUGACGGCCUUCGGGUUGUAAAGCUCUGUUAAUCGGGACGAAAGGUCUUCUUGCGAAUAGUGAGAAGGAUUGACGGUACCGGAAGAGAAAGCCACGGCUAACUACGUG